UGGGGAAUAUUGCGCAAUGGGGGGAACCCUGACGCAGCCAUGCCGCGUGAAUGAAGAAGGCCUUCGGGUUGUAAAGUUCUUUCGGUAUUGAGGAAGGUUGAUGUGUUAAUAGCACAUCAAAUUGACGUUAAAUACAGAAGAAGCACCGGCUAACUCCGUGCCAGCAGCCGCGGUAAUACGGAGGGUGCGAGCGUUAAUCGGAAUAACUGGGCGUAAAGGGCACGCAGGCGGUUAUUUAAGUGAGGUGUGAAAGCCCCGGGCUAACCUGGGAAUUGCAUUUCAGACUGGGUAACUAGAGUACUUUAGGGAGGGGUAGAAUUCCACGUGUAGCGGUGAAAUGCGUAGAGAUGUGGAGGAAUACCGAAGGCGAAGGCAGCCCCUUGGGAAUGUACUGACGCUCAUGUGCGAAAGCGUGGGGAGCAAACAGGAUUAGAUACCCUGGUAGUCCACGCUGUAAACGCUGUCGAUUUGGGGGUUGGGGUUUAACUCUGGCGCCCGUAGCUAACGUGAUAAAUCGACCGCCUGGGGAGUACGGCCGCAAGGUUA
This 546-nucleotide ribosomal RNA is filed under the name uncultured bacterium. RNAcentral's name for it is "bacterial SSU rRNA". It matches the Rfam family "Bacterial small subunit ribosomal RNA", at positions 355 to 896 of the family's 1533-position model. The record is from RNAcentral.